GCUAAGUACGGGUGAGGAGGCGGGGUAAGGCGUAGGAUGCAUGCGUUGGCCGGAUUUAUGUGGCGUAAAGAGGUCGUAGGCGUGUCGUUAAGUCUGAUGUUAAAGAUCGGGGCCCAACCCUGAGAGUGCAUGGGAUACUGGCGAACUGGAGUGCAGUAGAGGCGAGUGGAAGUCCCAGUGUAGCGGUGAAAUGCGUAGAUAUUGGGAAGAACACCGGUGGCGUAGGCGACUCGCUGGGCUGUAACUGACGCUGAGGAACGAAAGCCAGGGGAGCGAAUGGGAUUAGAUACCCCGGUAGUC
Molecule: ribosomal RNA, 300 nt
Filed under: uncultured Desulfurella sp.
Lineage: Bacteria; Pseudomonadati; Campylobacterota; Desulfurellia; Desulfurellales; Desulfurellaceae
Description: bacterial SSU rRNA
Rfam family: Bacterial small subunit ribosomal RNA
Source: RNAcentral